Molecule: ribosomal RNA, 253 nt
Filed under: uncultured bacterium
Lineage: Bacteria
Description: partial 16S ribosomal RNA
Rfam family: Bacterial small subunit ribosomal RNA
Source: RNAcentral
UACGAAGGGGGCUAGCGUUGUUCGGAAUUACUGGGCGUAAAGCGCACGUAGGCGGAUCGAUCAGUCAGGGGUGAAAUCCCAGAGCUCAACUCUGGAACUGCCUUUGAUACUGGGUAUCUUGAGUAUGGAAGAGGUAAGUGGAAUUGCGAGUGUAGAGGUGAAAUUCGUAGAUAUUCGCAGGAACACCAGUGGCGAAGGCGGCUUACUGGUCCAUUACUGACGCUGAGGUGCGAAAGCGUGGGGAGCAAACAGG